AGUGAACGCUGGCGGUAGGCCUAACACAUGCAAGUCGAACGGCAGCACAGUAAGAGCUUGCUCUUACGGGUGGCGAGUGGCGGACGGGUGAGGAAUACAUCGGAAUCUACUUUUUCGUGGGGGAUAACGUAGGGUAACUUACGCUAAUACCGCAUACGACCUACGGGUGAAAGCAGGGGAUCUUCGGACCUUGCGCGAUUGAAUGAGCCGAUGUCGGAUUAGCUAGUUGGCGGGGUAAAGGCCCACCAAGGCGACGAUCCGUAGCUGGUCUGAGAGGAUGAUCAGCCACACUGGAACUGAGACACGGUCCAGACUCCUACGGGAGGCAGCAGUGGGGAAUAUUGGACAAUGGGCGCAAGCCUGAUCCAGCCAUACCGCGUGGGUGAAGAAGGCCUUCGGGUUGUAGAGCCCUUUUGUUGGGAAAGAAAAGCAGCAGGUUAAUACCCCGCUGUUCUGACGGUACCCAAAGAAUAAGCACCGGCUAACUUCGUG
RNAcentral lists this ribosomal RNA (492 nucleotides) under uncultured bacterium. Its description in RNAcentral is "partial 16S ribosomal RNA". It matches the Rfam family "Bacterial small subunit ribosomal RNA", at positions 29 to 507 of the family's 1533-position model. The record is from RNAcentral.